UACAACUUUCAGCAACGGAUCUCUUGGCUCUCGCAUCGAUGAAGAACGCAGCGAAAUGCGAUAAGUAAUGUGAAUUGCAGAAUUCAGUGAAUCAUCGAAUCUUUGAACGCACCUUGCGCUCCUUGGUAUUCCGAGGAGCAUGCCUGUUUGAGUGUCAUGAAA
This 162-nucleotide ribosomal RNA is filed under the name Ganoderma lucidum. Its description in RNAcentral is "5.8S ribosomal RNA". It matches the Rfam family "5.8S ribosomal RNA". Rfam says of the family: 5.8S ribosomal RNA (5.8S rRNA) is a component of the large subunit of the eukaryotic ribosome. It is transcribed by RNA polymerase I as part of the 45S precursor that also contains 18S and 28S rRNA. RNAcentral also lists the same sequence under 2 other names. The record is from RNAcentral. Lineage: Eukaryota; Fungi; Basidiomycota; Agaricomycetes; Polyporales; Polyporaceae.